Molecule: ribosomal RNA, 391 nt
Filed under: uncultured bacterium
Lineage: Bacteria
Description: bacterial SSU rRNA
Rfam family: Bacterial small subunit ribosomal RNA
Source: RNAcentral
GACGAACGCUGGCGGCGUGCUUAACACAUGCAAGUCGAGCGGUAAGGCCCUUUCGGGGGUACACGAGCGGCGAACGGGUGAGUAACACGUGGGUGACCUGCCCUCAGCUCUGGGAUAAGCCUGGGAAACCGGGUCUAAUACCGGAUAUGACUCCAUGACGCAUGUUGUGGGGUGGAAAGCCUUGUGCGGCUGAGGAGUGGGCCCGCGGCCUAUCAGCUUGUUGGUGGGGUGAUGGCCUACCAAGGCGACGACGGGUAGCCGGCCUGAGAGGGCGACCGGCCACACUGGGACUGAGACACGGCCCAGACUCCUACGGGAGGCAGCAGUGGGGAAUCUUGCGCAAUGGGCGAAAGCCUGACGCAGCGACGCCGCGUGAGGGAUGACGGCCUGG